This 2792-nucleotide ribosomal RNA is filed under the name Klebsiella pneumoniae. Its description in RNAcentral is "bacterial LSU rRNA". It matches the Rfam family "Bacterial large subunit ribosomal RNA". The record is from RNAcentral. Lineage: Bacteria; Pseudomonadati; Pseudomonadota; Gammaproteobacteria; Enterobacterales; Enterobacteriaceae.
UUAAGCGACUAAGCGUACACGGUGGAUGCCCUGGCAGUCAGAGGCGAUGAAGGACGUGCUAAUCUGCGAAAAGCGUCGGUAAGGUGAUAUGAACCGUUACAGCCGGCGAUGUCCGAAUGGGGAAACCCAGUGCAAUUCGUUGCACUAUCGUUAACUGAAUACAUAGGUUAACGAGGCGAACCGGGGGAACUGAAACAUCUAAGUACCCCGAGGAAAAGAAAUCAACCGAGAUUCCCCCAGUAGCGGCGAGCGAACGGGGAGCAGCCCAGAGUCUGAAUCAGCUUGUGUGUUAGUGGAACGGUCUGGAAAGUCCGACGGUACAGGGUGAUAGUCCCGUACACCAAAAUGCACAGGUUGUGAACUCGAAGAGUAGGGCGGGACACGUGGUAUCCUGUCUGAAUAUGGGGGGACCAUCCUCCAAGGCUAAAUACUCCUGACUGACCGAUAGUGAACCAGUACCGUGAGGGAAAGGCGAAAAGAACCCCGGCGAGGGGAGUGAAAAAGAACCUGAAACCGUGUACGUACAAGCAGUGGGAGCACCUUCGGGUGUGACUGCGUACCUUUUGUAUAAUGGGUCAGCGACUUAUAUUCUGUAGCAAGGUUAACCGUAUAGGGGAGCCGCAGGGAAACCGAGUCUUAACUGGGCGUUAAGUUGCAGGGUAUAGACCCGAAACCCGGUGAUCUAGCCAUGGGCAGGUUGAAGGUUGGGUAACACUAACUGGAGGACCGAACCGACUAAUGUUGAAAAAUUAGCGGAUGACUUGUGGCUGGGGGUGAAAGGCCAAUCAAACCGGGAGAUAGCUGGUUCUCCCCGAAAGCUAUUUAGGUAGCGCCUCGUGAACUCAUCUUCGGGGGUAGAGCACUGUUUCGGCUAGGGGGUCAUCCCGACUUACCAACCCGAUGCAAACUACGAAUACCGAAGAAUGUUAUCACGGGAGACACACGGCGGGUGCUAACGUCCGUCGUGAAGAGGGAAACAACCCAGACCGCCAGCUAAGGUCCCAAAGUCAUGGUUAAGUGGGAAACGAUGUGGGAAGGCACAGACAGCCAGGAUGUUGGCUUAGAAGCAGCCAUCAUUUAAAGAAAGCGUAAUAGCUCACUGGUCGAGUCGGCCUGCGCGGAAGAUGUAACGGGGCUAAACCAUGCACCGAAGCUGCGGCAGCGACACUAUGUGUUGUUGGGUAGGGGAGCGUUCUGUAAGCCUGCGAAGGUGUGCUGUGAGGCAUGCUGGAGGUAUCAGAAGUGCGAAUGCUGACAUAAGUAACGAUAAAGCGGGUGAAAAGCCCGCUCGCCGGAAGACCAAGGGUUCCUGUCCAACGUUAAUCGGGGCAGGGUGAGUCGACCCCUAAGGCGAGGCCGAAAGGCGUAGUCGAUGGGAAACAGGUUAAUAUUCCUGUACUUGGUGUUACUGCGAAGGGGGGACGGAGAAGGCUAUGUUAGCCGGGCGACGGUUGUCCCGGUUUAAGCAUGUAGGCUGGUUAUCCAGGCAAAUCCGGAUAAUCAAGGCUGAGGUGUGAUGACGAGGCACUACGGUGCUGAAGUAACAAAUGCCCUGCUUCCAGGAAAAGCCUCUAAGCAUCAGGUAACAUCAAAUCGUACCCCAAACCGACACAGGUGGUCAGGUAGAGAAUACCAAGGCGCUUGAGAGAACUCGGGUGAAGGAACUAGGCAAAAUGGUGCCGUAACUUCGGGAGAAGGCACGCUGGUGUGUAGGUGAAGUCCCUGCGGAUGGAGCUGAGACCAGUCGAAGAUACCAGCUGGCUGCAACUGUUUAUUAAAAACACAGCACUGUGCAAACACGAAAGUGGACGUAUACGGUGUGACGCCUGCCCGGUGCCGGAAGGUUAAUUGAUGGGGUUAUCCGUAAGGAGAAGCUCUUGAUCGAAGCCCCGGUAAACGGCGGCCGUAACUAUAACGGUCCUAAGGUAGCGAAAUUCCUUGUCGGGUAAGUUCCGACCUGCACGAAUGGCGUAAUGAUGGCCAGGCUGUCUCCACCCGAGACUCAGUGAAAUUGAACUCGCUGUGAAGAUGCAGUGUACCCGCGGCAAGACGGAAAGACCCCGUGAACCUUUACUAUAGCUUGACACUGAACAUUGAGCCUUGAUGUGUAGGAUAGGUGGGAGGCUUUGAAGCGUGGACGCCAGUCUGCGUGGAGCCAACCUUGAAAUACCACCCUUUAAUGUUUGAUGUUCUAACGUUGGCCCCUGACCGGGGUUGCGGACAGUGUCUGGUGGGUAGUUUGACUGGGGCGGUCUCCUCCCAAAGCGUAACGGAGGAGCACGAAGGUUAGCUAAUCCUGGUCGGACAUCAGGAGGUUAGUGCAAUGGCAUAAGCUAGCUUGACUGCGAGCGUGACGGCGCGAGCAGGUGCGAAAGCAGGUCAUAGUGAUCCGGUGGUUCUGAAUGGAAGGGCCAUCGCUCAACGGAUAAAAGGUACUCCGGGGAUAACAGGCUGAUACCGCCCAAGAGUUCAUAUCGACGGCGGUGUUUGGCACCUCGAUGUCGGCUCAUCACAUCCUGGGGCUGAAGUAGGUCCCAAGGGUAUGGCUGUUCGCCAUUUAAAGUGGUACGCGAGCUGGGUUUAGAACGUCGUGAGACAGUUCGGUCCCUAUCUGCCGUGGGCGCUGGAGAAUUGAGGGGGGCUGCUCCUAGUACGAGAGGACCGGAGUGGACGCAUCACUGGUGUUCGGGUUGUCAUGCCAAUGGCACUGCCCGGUAGCUAAAUGCGGAAGAGAUAAGUGCUGAAAGCAUCUAAGCACGAAACUUGCCCCGAGAUGAGUUCUCCCUGAGACU